AAGCGCAGGCUUGGAGCAUGUGCUGCAGGAAACUCUUCCUGUGUGCAAGCGUUCCAGUCUUCUGCAGUGACUUGAGUGCUAAUACUGGCCUGAAUGCCCCAUGGCUCCACAACGGGGCAUGUGGCACGAUACAAGGUAGCAUCUUUCUGUGACGUGAAGACAAGGCACUGACCACUUUGCUAGUGUCUUGGCCCAACUAGAUAUCUCUACUUAAAUCUCCCCCUGCAGUGUGAGAGGUACUAAUCCUCACUUCCUGACUAACACUGCUGCUGUGAUAUAAACUGCUGCCAUGUUCUGUUCUAGAGGUGGCAGAAUUUCAUUGCAUGCUGGAGUGUACAAUCAAAAGUAAGUAAGUCCAUUAAUGGAGAGUGCUGGGGAAAUGUGGACAGUGUCUUCAGUGACUUGGCAUCUUUCAAUUCAGAGCUCGAGGAGGAACUGAAAUGUUCUCAGUCGUGGACCAGACAGCUGUCCUGCCGCGUGAAUGAGCUGGAGCGCCUCAUAUGCCCAGAGGUAGGCAGACACUCAAUGGCUCUCAUGGGAGCAUUGGGGAGGUCUGGUUUCUGGUGACUGAUCUACUUUCUCCCAGACCCCCUCGCGCUGUGCAGGUGGAAUGGCGUAACUCUGUCCAGCCCAGCCUGGGUGAGAAGCUGCAGUUGCACCUGGAGCGCUCCCUACUGGAGAAGCAGGACCUGAAGUGCAGAGCUCUGAGGGCUGAGGAGAACAUCCAGGACCUCAAAAGGGAGAUUGCUAUUCUGCAGAAGCGCCUGCAGGCUGAGUGUCCCUCUCCAACCACCCUAGCUCCAUUGGCUACUGCUCCUCAGUCUCUUCCACCAUCCCCUUCAACUUUCUUCCAUCAGACUCCUCCUCUCUAAAACGCACAAGAAGUCAGCAGUGAAGCCAGCUGCACAGACUCCACCGAAGAAGGGACCUGCCCCCUGUGAUGAACAUGCCUUGUCCAAGCAGAACAGCAUGAAGGAAGUGCUGGAUACAAUCUGCCAUGGGGUCUCCCUGAGACCGAUGCACAUGUCCAGGGAAGUAAGGUCUGGAGCAACCUUAGUUGUAGCACCCUAGGGUGCUUAACUGCUGCAUUCUAGACAGACCUUACCAGGGAAAUGGUGCCAUUUAACAGGUCUGUUAAGGGAUUUCCUGAAGAGGCUGAUUUGCUAAAUGAGGAUAAAGCAGUAAGAUUGGAGGGUGUUAAGGGAAGGAGAUCCCUGGGUGAAGGGAGGUAACUAAAUCUCCCUGCUAGCUGCAGUAACUGGUAGUGAUUGUGCCUGGCACUGAACUCUCCCUGAUCGGUUUUCCUCCUCUUCCAAAGGGCAGGAUGUUCCAAGUGGAAGAGGCUGCAUCUUCAGAAUAUGAGCAGGAGAAGCCCUUGGUCAAGAAAGGGAGCAAAAACUGCUCUGAAACAGAUGGCCCUCUGGAUUCCUUGAGCAACAUGCCCUCUUCAAGCCAGACUCUUCAACCCCUUGAGAGCCCCCUCGUAGUCUCUAGCUGUGGGACUUCUAGUGGUGUCUGUGCUUCUCAGGCUUACAGAGAGGAUGGCAGCGGCCCACAGAGGGAAAGGGAAGAUCCCGCAGAAGCUCUGAAGAUGACGCAAGGAGCGCUACUAGUCCCCUUCCAGCUAUCACCCUGCUAGAGGAAGGGGACAACCUUGAGGAGAUCCCUUGUGGCUCUCUAACUGGCCUGGAGUUGGGAACUACUACUCAAAUCCCAAAGGACUCUGAAGCAACUGACUGCAGUGGGUCUCCAAGUAGCAAGAACCCACUGGCUGUGGGGAAAGAGAAUAUGAAGGAUGAAAGAGGCAGAAACUGUAGCAGCAGGUGAGAUGUGUGAGGGGGAGCUGAGUGCAUGCCGAGCAAGUGAGGUGGCCCAGCCUCUUGGCCUUGGUGACCAGGUUUCUGGGGAGACUAAUCACUACUCAGUGUGGUGCUCUGAAGACUGACCUUGCCAGCUGCAAACAUCUGUCUUUAGCACCCCUUGAUGCCUCUUACCCAUCAGAAACCAGCUCUUCUGUGGAAGAUCUGCUUGUCAGGGGCACAGGUCAGAACAUAAACGCCAUAUCUGCCUCCUGCAUGGACAAUGCCAUGGUUUUGAAAUCAAAUGCCAGCCAAGCCCUGUCUGCUGAGCCAACUACUAGAGACCUGGGUCUUCCAGGAGCCACAGAGAAGCCGCCACCUCUGUGCCCUGUUGCCACUGAGAUAGAAACAAAGAUGGUUCCUGAGGGUGGAGACCUUGGUGAGGGAGAGAAGAUGCCUCCAGCUAGUUCCAUUGGGCCUCUGGUGAGGAGCUUGCCUGCAGGGGCAGAAAUGAAGCUGGAGGGAGGAGUUGGGAUGAAUUUUUCCAGGGACCAAAGCCCCCUACAGGAUAGCCCAGCUAUUGCUACAGCUGCCCUCCCACUGCCAGGAGCAAUAGAGCCUCCAGUUCCUGCUGGCUUUGAGGAGGUGCCCUCAACAGCUCUGCCAGAUCUGUUCAUGGAGGCUGGCCCUGCUGACUCCUCUGACUCCAAGCAGACCAACCCUGUGCUCUUGAACCCUCCUUGUAUGACUGCAAUAAAAAUGCACCAAGAGCAGCUCCAAGAAGCAGCAGUUCAUGCUGGUUCUAAGACCUACUAGGGGGUCUGGGGGAGGGUGUUAACUGUCUAGUACAAACACCGAGCAAGAAGUGGUGCAGAACUUGAUAAGGACAUGACUGACUGUUAGAAUCUUGUACUCUGUAGUAUUUACUUGACUUUUCCUACUAAAUAUUUAGACAACUUUUAACAAACUUUAAACAAACAAACACACACCCUAAUAAUGACCUGACCAGAAAGGCAUGCAAUGUGGGGGAGCCCUUUGCCAGCUUGUGGACACUUAUGGGUGGAUCUAAAUGAAUGGGCACAGCAUGCAGUCUGGGGGAAGAAAGGGUUCACUGGCACUGGUCUCAACACUUUUAGCUUGUAUGGCAUCCACUGAGGCGCUAAUUGGUCAAAUGCUGCUUACCCCAGUGUUCUGAGGUUCCUCAGGCCUUGUUGGGGGUGAAUGAAGUUGGGGGCCAGUGGACUCAGUCCUUCUUGCCAAGUUUUUAACUCUCUAACUUUUCUGGUUAUGAAAUACCCCGUGUCUGUGCCAUACACAUGCUCUGCAGUGCACUGGGCAAACCUUUCUCAGACUCCAA
Caretta caretta (loggerhead turtle) is the source of this 3156-nucleotide non-coding RNA. The record is from RefSeq and is a predicted model, not a curated record. NCBI's taxonomy places the organism in Eukaryota, Metazoa, Chordata, Testudines, Cheloniidae.